GACGAACGCUGGCGGCGCGCUUAAUACAUGCAAGUCGAACGAGAAGCCAGAGCUUGCUCUGGUGGAAAGUGGCGAACGGGUGAGUAACACGUGAGAAACCUGCCCCAAAGACUGGGAUAAGCCUUGGAAACGAGGUCUAAUACCGGAUACCUUCUUUUUAUCUCCUGAUAAAGAGAAGAAAGCUCCGGCGCUUUGGGAUGGUCUCGCGUCCUAUCAGCUUGUUGGUGAGGUAAAAGCUCACCAAGGCAACGACGGGUAGCUGGUCUGAGAGGAUGUCCAGCCACACUGGAACUGAGAUACGGUCCAGACUCCUACGGGAGGCAGCAGUAGGGAAUCUUGCACAAUGAGGGAAACCUUGAUGCAGCGACGCCGCGUGCGGGACGAAGGCCCUAGGGUUCGUAAACCGCUUUCAGUUGGGACGAAAGUGACGGUACAACAGAAGAACGCCCCGGCCAACUAUGUGCCAGCAGCCGACGGUAAAGAGUAGUCA
This 490-nucleotide ribosomal RNA is filed under the name uncultured bacterium. RNAcentral's name for it is "bacterial SSU rRNA". It matches the Rfam family "Bacterial small subunit ribosomal RNA", at positions 28 to 533 of the family's 1533-position model. The record is from RNAcentral.